GACGAACGCUGGCGGCGUGCUUAACACAUGCAAGUCGAACGGAAAGGCCCUGCUUUUGUGGGGUGCUCGAGUGGCGAACGGGUGAGUAACACGUGAGUAACCUGCCCUUAGCUUUGGGAUAACUUCAGGAAACUGGGGCUAAUACCGGAUAGGAGCUCCUGCUGCAUGGUGGGGGUUGGAAAGUUUCGGCGGUUGGGGAUGGACUCGCGGCUUAUCAGCUUGUUGGUGGGGUAGUGGCUUACCAAGGCUUUGACGGGUAGCCGGCCUGAGAGGGUGACCGGCCACAUUGGGACUGAGAUACGGCCCAGACUCCUACGGGAGGCAGCAGUGGGGAAUAUUGCACAAUGGGCGGAAGCCUGAUGCAGCAACGCCGCGUGCGGGAUGACGGCCUUCGGGUUGUAAACCGCUUUCGCCUGUGACGAAGCGUGAGUGACGGUAAUGGGUAAAGAAGCACCGGCUAACUACGUG
RNAcentral lists this ribosomal RNA (468 nucleotides) under uncultured bacterium. Its description in RNAcentral is "partial 16S ribosomal RNA". It matches the Rfam family "Bacterial small subunit ribosomal RNA", at positions 28 to 507 of the family's 1533-position model. The record is from RNAcentral.